CCUACGGGUGGCCGCAGUGAGGAAUCUUGGUCAAUGGGCGGGAGCCUGAACCAGCCAAGCCGCGUGAAGGAAGAAGGCGCCAAGCGUCGUAAACUUCUUUUGUCGGGGAACAAAGGGCGCCACGUGUGGCGUUGUGAGUGUACCCGAAUAUAACGCAUCGGCUAACUACGUGCCAGCAGCCGCGGUAAUACGUAGGGGGCAAGCGUUAUCCGGAUUUACUGGGUGUAAAGGGAGCGUAGACGGCUGUGCAAGUCUGAAGUGAAAGCCCAGGGCUCAACCCAGGGACUGCUUUGGAAACUGUGGAGCUAGAGUGCUGGAGAGGUAAGUGGAAUUCCUAGUGUAGCGGUGAAAUGCGUAGAUAUUAGGAGGAACACCAGUGGCGAAGGCGGCUUACUGGACAGUAACUGACGUUGAGGCUCGAAAGCGUGGGGAGCAAACAGGAUUAGAUACCCCUGUAGUC
Molecule: ribosomal RNA, 460 nt
Filed under: uncultured bacterium
Lineage: Bacteria
Description: partial 16S ribosomal RNA
Rfam family: Bacterial small subunit ribosomal RNA
Source: RNAcentral